This is a long non-coding RNA of Catharus ustulatus (Swainson's thrush), 3315 nucleotides long. RefSeq lists it as uncharacterized. Lineage: Eukaryota; Metazoa; Chordata; Aves; Passeriformes; Turdidae. The transcript has 3 exons. The record is from RefSeq and is a predicted model, not a curated record.
GGCUGUUCCCGCCGGGCUCGCUGCUUCUCCGGAGGAUGGCAUUCUGCCCUUGGAGAUGCAGGUUUGUGGGUCCAUUUCUUCUCUGCCCAAGGAGACAGAAAGUUUUAUGAACAUUCUGCAUCCAGUCCUUGAGAAGUGAGUAUGUGCCUUCAGUCUGGAGCACUGAUGCUGGAAGCAGUGCUUUGCACAGUUGUGAACAUCCAAUUUUGUUGGCUCCAGGUGAUGGCUGCAAUCCAUGGCUGGUGGUGUGUCCAGGGCAAUGUGAUGCUGAUCCUGUCUGGCAUUCCUGUCACCCUGUUGCCCAGGCCAGCAUAUGAAGGUGCUCCCGAAGCUCCUCCAAGACAUUUUGUGGGAAACAUGAUUACAUUCAUACCAGCCUUUGAAUCUACAAAGCACAGGGGACUGCUGGACAGUCACAGGACACACACCCCACUGGGUGGGCUGGCAUUCAGAUGGGGUGGACACAAACGGGGUAUGGGAUGUGUGUACACAGCCAGCCCCUCCUUGUGCUGGAUGCAGUAAUGUAAAGAGCUGUGUGGUGUGAAAGUUUCAGAGGGAUGGAAAAGAAAGGAAGGACAGGAAGUAAGCACAUGUUCAUGCUGCAUGCAAGGUGUCCCAGAGGAUGCUGUUCUGUACUCCCCAGUCACAUGUGGCCAUCCAGAAAGAACUGAGUCAGUGUGCUCAAGCACUCCUGCUGCCGGCAGGAGCAGCUCCGCUGGGAUGCACCGGUUACAUGAGUCAGAACCAGUCCUUUCCUGAGUGAAAAGCAAGUGCAAAAGCAAUAACUCUUUGCUUUUGUUAUGAAAUAUAGCAGCAAUUUGAUCUGGCAUCCCUUGAAUGGGGUGGCCCCCGUACUAGAAGAAGAAUGCCAGAAAUGCAACUGCUCCAGAAUUGCAGUCCUCUUGCACAAAGACUCAGCCCUGCAGGGGUGUACAGGCUCUGAGAACUCAAAUGACAAAUGCUCUCCUUGGGUUCAGCAAGAGCUGGGGCUGGCAAGAGUGAAAGAGCCAUCACUCUCCCAUAUCAAGCAAGAAGCUUCAGAGACUACAGAAAAUUUGCAAAUUUUCUUGCAGAUUCUUAUAAGUUCUUGCAAAUCCAACAAAACCAGGAUAAAAUGCAGGUGCUCAGUGGCUCGGGUGCCGUGAUGUUGUUGCUUCUCUGCGUCCCAGAUCCUUGCUGUCACUGCAGUAGAACUGCAUAGUUACUCUGACAUGUCCUGGCAACGACUGUGAAGUGAAAAGGCUUUGGCAGACAAGUCCUCGAUUGCCCCAGUUUUCUUAGACUCAAAUAGGUUAAUGUCCUUCUUUCCUCUCUGAUGCUAACAAGUUUGCUUUAUUAAACCCUUCCCCCUUGGAUGCUGGGGCACUGACUCUAGAGCUUUCAAGACCAGAAAAGUGGUCUCCUGCUAAAUCGCAAUCAGCCUUCUACAAACAGUUGCUUAUAUAGGAAAGGAGCAGGACAACUGGAGACUGUGAGAUCUGGGAACUGAGCAAAGUAUCCUGAGGGAACACCAUGUGGCUCAAGUCAUAGAAAGGGAUUAUGGUUGUUUCAGGCUCUAGAAGUGUACAGUAUUCACAUUAUUGCACUGGUACCAUUUGUAGGAAUUCAGAGCAACCAUGGUCAGGAAUCCCUAGAUAAUGGAAACACCAUUGAUCUUGUACUGAGUAAUCCCACUGCCUCAGGAGCAAGGGAGUGGGAUUAUUCCUUCAGCAGCGAUUUAUGGUCAUUGUAGCAGCCACCAAAUUACAUUUGUGAGGAACAGAAGGGCAGCAAAUGUCUACUUAAGGCUGUAGCCACUGUGUAGCUGCCCAAACCCCUCUUGGGUUUUGCCUCAUCUUUCUUCAGGACUUCCUUUGUAUCAGGAGAGGACAGUGAGGAUGGUCCACCUGAACAACCUGCAGAAAGGGACCAAUCAGAGCUCUCACUCACUGACUUUUCAAUCACUUGCCCAGGCAGCACAGUGUCUGAGACUGAGCAAAGAACAGACUACAAAGCAGUGAAGGAGCCAGCGUGUCAGUCCAGUCACUGAUUGCCAAACCCUCCUUCCAGAAAGGUGACUGUGUGGACCUCCUGAAGGAAAAAGUUCAACCACUUUUAGUGGAAAACUAUGGCCUGAAGGUGAGCCAAUGCUUGAGUUUUACGGCCAUCUCUCUUCCUCUAUCCACCCAUUCAUUUCUCCCCUACUGCAGCAAUGGCAACAUAUUAUCUCACAUCUACAAGAUUUAUUGCUUGUAAAACCUUGAGUCUGGGCAGACAUCCAUAUAUGCUGUCCUUUUCUUUUUUUUAUUCCCAUAUGUGAGUGUCGUACCCUGUGGGUGGUGACGGAAUCACGUAUGGUGUGCAUGACCUUGUUGUAUUUACCAUCAAUGCUGUAGCUGCUACCUUUGCCUCCUUCUGAAUAUUUUAUCAGGAAGGUGGGGAGAGGGACAAUAUUGCUGUAUCUUUCUUAUCUUUGUAUUUCACCCGAUUGUUCUGUGGUUACUGGUGUGCUCAGGAGUUGGAGCAUUAUCUGUAUCGGUAUUUGGCUAUUAGGCUGGUGGCAGGUGGGCAGGUAUUUUUACUGAGUCAUGGGACUCAAGUGUGGUGUUUAUAAAUACACCUGUCACCCCAUCAUUCCCCCCUGCACUUGUUUCUGGAAGCAUUUAACAUGAUUAUGUCCAUUCAGGUAUCUGCAUGAAAAACCAUAUGCUCAGGUUAGUGCAAAGCUAUGCACUUCUUAAUGACUGUAUUUUUUUAGUAGGGGUCAAAAUAAGCUACAGCAGUUACUUCUGCAGCCAGAGCAGAAGGGAACUGAGCAGCAUGGUCUACUUGCUGGGUGAACCCAGGUGACCACAACUGCGGGAAGGUCACAGAGCCUCCGAAACAGAGACUGCAGAUCUGCGGGAACCAGUGGAGAGGACCACCCUUCCCAUUUCCUGCCCAGCUAGUGACUAGUUGCUUUCUAGGCAGCUGAUAAGAUAUGCACAAGAAAAAGAUGCAGAUACCUUCCCCUCAAAACCCUGCUUGGCUGUACAGGACAAGAGCUUCAAAAAGGAUGAAAUAUAAAAGGACCUAAACCUAGCACAACUGCAUUGGUCCUGUGUUAAAAGCUGAAUAGUGUAGUAUAAAGCACAUACAAAAUGAGAAAGGAAUGAGCAUUUUGCACCCUGUGGAGAGUUGGACUCUUAGAAAGACUUUCUUCCAAAGAUGAUUUUUUUUUUUUACUUUUAAUAAGAGCAGAUUAUUCUCAUCUGCAAAGCUAGGGCAAAAUCAGUCCAAGUGGCAACUAUGUUCAUCAUCACUGCCUUUCUUUGUGGAGAUAUCAGAAGAAAGAGU